Molecule: ribosomal RNA, 482 nt
Filed under: uncultured Bacteroidota bacterium
Lineage: Bacteria; Pseudomonadati; Bacteroidota
Description: bacterial SSU rRNA
Rfam family: Bacterial small subunit ribosomal RNA
Source: RNAcentral
AACUCAAAGGAAUUGACGGGGGCCCGCACAAGCGGAGGAGCAUGUGGUUUAAUUCGAUGAUACGCGAGGAACCUUACCUGGGCUUAAAUGCUUAAUGACGUACUGGGAAACUGGUAUUUCUUCGGACAUUUUGCAAGGUGCUGCAUGGUUGUCGUCAGCUCGUACCGUGAGGUGUCGGGUUAAGUCCCAUAACGAGCGCAACCCCUAUUGUUAGUUGCCAUCAGGUCAUGCUGGGGACUCUAACAAAACUGCCCGCGUAAGCGUGGAGGAAGGUGGGGAUGACGUCAAAUCAGCACGGCCCUUACGUCCAGGGCUACACACGUGCUACAAUGGCCGGUACAGAGGGCAGCCACUUGGUGACAAGGAGCAAAUCUCAAAAGCCGGUCUCAGUUCGGAUCGGAGUCUGCAACUCGACUCCGUGAAGUUGGAUUCGCUAGUAAUCGUAGAUCAGCAAUGCUACGGUGAAUACGUUCCCGGGCCUU